YWGARGKCGCCCUUAGAGUUUGAUCCUGGCUCAGAACGAACGCUGGCGGCGUGCUUAACACAUGCAAGUCGAACGUGAUUCAGAGCUUGCUCUGAUGAAAGUGGCGCACGGGUGAGUAACGCGUGGAUAACCUGCCCUGGUAUCUGGGAUAACAUCUCGAAAGGGGUGCUAAUACCGGAUAAGCCUACGGGCUCUUCGGAGUCUGCAGGAAAAGGAGGCCUCUAUUUAUAAGCUUCCGUAUCAUGAUGGGUCCGCGUACCAUUAGCUAGUUGGUGGGGUAAUGGCCUACCAAGGCGACGAUGGUUAGCUGGUCUGAGAGGAUGAUCAGCCACACUGGAACUGAGACACGGUCCAGACUCCUACGGGAGGCAGCAGUGGGGAAUUUUGCGCAAUGGGGGAAACCCUGACGCAGCAACGCCGCGUGAGUGAUGAAGGCUUUCGGGUCGUAAAGCUCUGUCAGAGGGGAAGAAAUGAAACGUGCUAAUAUCACGGCUUCUUGACGGUACCCUCAAAGGAAGCACCGGCUAACUCCGUGCCAGCAGCCGCGGUAAUAC
This 554-nucleotide ribosomal RNA is filed under the name uncultured Geobacteraceae bacterium. RNAcentral's name for it is "bacterial SSU rRNA". It matches the Rfam family "Bacterial small subunit ribosomal RNA", at positions 1 to 526 of the family's 1533-position model. The record is from RNAcentral. Lineage: Bacteria; Pseudomonadati; Thermodesulfobacteriota; Desulfuromonadia; Geobacterales; Geobacteraceae.